GAUGAACGCUGGCGGCGUGCCUAAUACAUGCAAGUCGAGCGAACAGACGAGGAGCUUGCUCCUCUGACGUUAGCGGCGGACGGGUGAGUAACACGUGGAUAACCUACCUAUAAGACUGGGAUAACUACGGGAAACCGGAGCUAAUACCGGAUAAUAUAUUGAACCGCAUGGUUCAAUAGUGAAAGUCGGUUUUGCUGUCUCUUAUAGAUGGUUCCGGGCCGCAUUAGCUAGUUGGUAAGGUAACGGCCUACCAAGGCAACGAUGCGUAGCCGACCUGAGAGGGUGAUCAGCCACACGGGAACUGAGACACGGUCCAGACUCCUGCGGGAGGCAGCAGUGGGGAAUGUUCGGCAAUGGGCGAAAGCCUGACGGAGCAACGCCGCGUGAGUGAAGAAGGCCUUCGGAUUGUAAACCGCUGUUGUCAGGGACGAACAAAUGUGUGCGAAAAUCGGCAGGUCAUGACGGUACCUAAACAGAAAGCAACGGCUAACUACGUG
This 497-nucleotide ribosomal RNA is filed under the name uncultured bacterium. RNAcentral's name for it is "partial 16S ribosomal RNA". It matches the Rfam family "Bacterial small subunit ribosomal RNA", at positions 28 to 507 of the family's 1533-position model. The record is from RNAcentral.